Molecule: ribosomal RNA, 464 nt
Filed under: uncultured bacterium
Lineage: Bacteria
Description: partial 16S ribosomal RNA
Rfam family: Bacterial small subunit ribosomal RNA
Source: RNAcentral
CUACGGGCCGCAGCAGUGGAGAAUAUUGCACAAUGGGCGCAAGCCUGAUGCAGCCAUGCCGCGUGUAUGAAGAAGGCCUUCGGGUUGUAAAGUACUUUCAGCGGGGAGGAAGGGAGUAAAGUUAAUACCUUUGCUCAUUGACGUUACCCGCAGAAGAAGCACCGGCUAACUCCGUGCCAGCAGCCGCGGUAAUACGGAGGGUGCAAGCGUUAAUCGGAAUUACUGGGCGUAAAGCGCACGCAGGCGGUUUGUUAAGUCAGAUGUGAAAUCCCCGGGCUCAACCUGGGAACUGCAUCUGAUACUGGCAAGCUUGAGUCUCGUAGAGGGGGGUAGAAUUCCAGGUGUAGCGGUGAAAUGCGUAGAGAUCUGGAGGAAUACCGGUGGCGAAGGCGGCCCCCUGGACGAAGACUGACGCUCAGGUGCGAAAGCGUGGGGAGCAAACAGGAUUAGAUACCCGUGUAGUC